AGUUAUCUAGAAUCUUGGAGCUUACAUUUCUUUUCUUUUCUUCAGGGCUCUGGCAUGGACCCUGGGUGCAAAGUACACAUAGUGGGGAGGUGGCCUACAGAAGUGGGAAGUCAUCCUAAGGGAUUAAAGGCAAAGGGCUUCAGGUCAAGCAGGCCAUUCUUGGAGGAAUGUCUUAGCCCAACAUCUGUGAUGAGGAGAGGAACAUUAAUGAUAUCCACAAAGAGAUGGGGGAAGAGAUGCUUAAGAUAUUUGCUUUAGGAUA
Ictidomys tridecemlineatus (thirteen-lined ground squirrel) is the source of this 262-nucleotide non-coding RNA. The record is from RefSeq and is a predicted model, not a curated record. Lineage: Eukaryota; Metazoa; Chordata; Mammalia; Rodentia; Sciuridae.